RNAcentral lists this unclassified non-coding RNA (916 nucleotides) under Hevea brasiliensis (rubber tree). The record is from RNAcentral. Lineage: Eukaryota; Viridiplantae; Streptophyta; Magnoliopsida; Malpighiales; Euphorbiaceae.
GCAAAUCAAGAACGUAUCCAUUAAUAUUAGUAAUUCAACAUGUUUUAAGUACAUAUGGUCUACUUGCCGAUAACCAAAAAAAAAAAUCUCUAAUAACACUAUACGAAGAUAACAAUGCAUGCAUAAAUGAUAAUAAAUGGUACAAGAAUUGAGACAAGACAAAACAUGCUUCAUCAAAAUUCUUCUCCACUAAUAAUCUUCAGAAGAAUGGUGAGGUUGAUGUUUAACAAAUUCAUUCAAGCAACAAUCUUGCUUAUUUGCUCAACAAAGCACUUCCUACUACAUAUUUUCAAAAUGGGUGCACAAACUAGAAUGCAAAGACUCAAAGAUCUCAAGUGAUAUCUUUAUAAGGGGGAGUAAAUAUGCACUGUACUUUUUUUCCCUUUAUGAAGAUGUUUUUUCCACUAGGUUUUCCUAGUAAAGGUUUUUAAUGAGACAAUAUUUCAUCACCUAUUCCACAAAAGAAUAAUGUAUUCUUUUUAUCUUCACUAGGAUUUUUUUUUCCCAAUGGGUUUUUUCCUACUAAGGUUUUAAUGAGACAUAUUCAUUAAUGCAUUGACAUCUAAGGGGGAGUGUUAUGAAUAUUAAUUAUGGAUGUCCUUUUGCAUUCCUACUCCUAAACCUCUUCAUAUUAUCUUUAUAUGACCAUUGUAUCUUUAUUUGUCAUUGUUCAAGUCUCUUCAUCUUCUUCCCAUGUAUUCAAUGUAUUUAUCCAUAAGAAUUUAUUACUCCUAUCUUAUGUAUGCCUAUAAAAAGAGGCAUUGUAUAUGAUGUUAUACACACUUGAAGGAAAUGAAAGAAUAGAAAUUCUACUUUUCUCUCUUAAUAUUCUUUUCUCUUCUAAGUUAUUCUUUUAGCCUUAGUUCAUAAUACUUUAAUUUUAUUUCAUAACAAUAUUAUGUUAUAUUAUAUUAUU